GACGAACUAUCGCUGACGCACCGCGCGCGCGACCAGCGAGACGGCGCGAUAAGCGAUAACGCGAAAAUACGAGCGAGGUCGAGCGCGGAUGAUGCUCUCGGAAGCUGAUAAGAACGAUACGAUGACGAUAGAAAUUCGAGGGGAAUUAAAUGUCGCAAUGCGUUCGCGGCGAAACGCAGCAACGUCUCACGAGUCGUCUCCGAAUUUUGUAAUUUCGAUUCCAAGAUCAGAGCGAGCUUCUUUCUGCCUACUUCGUGACGAAAUUGUCUUUUGUUGGAAUUCGAGAAAAUGGCGCGGCAGCUCGCGUUCAUCCGCGACCGCCCGACCUGUUAAAUCACGAUUACGAUUGCCGAGUUUCUUCACUCGUGUGACACGUCACGUAACGUGUAUUAAAAAUUUGCAGUAGAAACUGACGAAAUGGCAGAUAAGAAGCUGCUUAUCGAUCCCGAGUACGAGUGGAUUUUCCGAACCUGCGCGAACGCUUUCAACGUUUAUAUAACGAUGAUGCAUUUUACGUUUUACGACAACACGCUGACUUUGCGGCCAGAAAAUUCCGAAAUCUCGCUUCUGUCGUACACGUUAUUCAUGACGGCGUUGGAUCUCCUCGCGUACUGCAUCUACCAAUAACUUCAGCCGCUGCGAGGAAGAUGAUGAAAGACGAGAACCGUGAUAGGCGAGAGAAGUGAUGAAGCGACUGACGACGCGUUCGCUGUCACGGUGGCUCGCGUAGAAAAGGGAGAGAGAUCGUAUAACAUAUGUAAAAAAUAUUCAAAACUUAUAUUUUACGUCGUCUUAGUGAAAAUUCUCAAUGCGGAAUUGUACAAGACGUUUUUAACCGUACUCUAAGUAUCAUAAAGGGUAAAAUGGGAGGGGGUGGGUAAGGGUAUACAGUAUAUAUAAUACAGUACUAAUCGUCAUCUUUAUGUGUUCCAAAAAUAUCCUAGCUAUCUCUCGCUCUCUCUCUCAAGCAUUUCUCGCGCAUUCUCUCCCUUUCUCUCCCUCUCUCUCUCUCUCUCACUCGCAUUCUCUCCGUUUUCCAUACUAUUCAUUAUACCUAUUAGUCAGUCAAGCCGCAUACAACAAAGCCACACAAAAUUUGUAAAUCGAUAAAGCAACGGAUACUCGCACGUACUUCUCCUCGAGCUAAUCUAAUGAUAAUCGCACUCCCUCCUCCGGCACUGAAAGUGCCGAAGAUACAUGUAUAUCUUAUUGUGAUGUUACAAAACAAGAAAUCCCAGCGUAGAGAGAUAAUGUACAAUGGAAGUAGUUUAUCUAUCGUGAGUGCGCGUUUUGUCCCACCAGUGACAAAUACCACGGUCCUCAUUCCGAUUCGCCCUACACAUACGAUCUCGCCGAUCCGUUUUUUUUUUACUCAUCAUUAAUUCAUAAGAAAUCACUUGGAAGGCAAUAAUAAUAUAAAAUCUGUCAAACUAUCGUCAAAAAAUAUUAGAACACACGAAACCGAUUUUCUCUCUUCAUUAAUCACAUAGACUGCAUAAUUGCAUUGACGACGAUACCGGAAACACAGAAAAGGAACGAUAUACAAGACACCCCUUCGCGCCGUGACACAGGACUGGUCAAGAAUGUAAGAUAAAAAGUAUGCAUUACUGAAUAAAUACCCAUGGUGCCCCCC
Molecule: long non-coding RNA, 1633 nt
Organism: Ooceraea biroi (clonal raider ant)
Lineage: Eukaryota; Metazoa; Arthropoda; Insecta; Hymenoptera; Formicidae
Source: RefSeq, a predicted model, not a curated record